CGACGCUUGUCGGCGCACAGCCUGCGGCGCGCGCUUUCUUCGGCCGCAAAUUUAUUUCCCCAAUGUAUGCUUACACACCUGUAUUUGCUCGUUGUGCGCGCAGAGGGUGUCCUUCAGGCGGAGAAGGACUUCAACCUCAAGGAGCACCCGGAGAUCCCCGGCGUGCCCAACCUGCAGGUCAUUAAGCUCAUGCAGAGCUUCAAGUCCCAGGAGCUGGUGACUGAGCGCUUCUCCUGGCGCCACUACUACUGGUGAGCGCGCGGCACACACACACGGGGCCGGGGGGGGGGGCGCCGAGCGCGCGGGGCAAUGUACUAACCACGCAGGGCGACGCCGCACACACAUUCUCUCGUCGUGUCC
This 360-nucleotide long non-coding RNA is filed under the name Chlamydomonas reinhardtii. RNAcentral's name for it is "long non-coding RNA (CREI_LNC000837)". Lineage: Eukaryota; Viridiplantae; Chlorophyta; Chlorophyceae; Chlamydomonadales; Chlamydomonadaceae. The record is from RNAcentral.